GACGUAGGGCGCGAGCGUUGUCCGGAUUUACUGGGCGUAAAGCGCACGCAGGCGGUCUGCUAAGUUUGGAGUGACAGUUGGUGGCUUAACUGCCAAAGUGCUUCGAAAACUGACAGACUUGAGGGCUUCAGAGGGACACGGAAUUCCGGGUGGAGUGGUGAAAUGCGUAGAGAUCCGGAGGAACACCAAAGGCGAAGGCAGUGUCCUGGGGAGUACCUGACGCUCAGGUGCGAAAGCCAGGGGAGCGAACGGG
Molecule: ribosomal RNA, 253 nt
Filed under: uncultured bacterium
Lineage: Bacteria
Description: partial 16S ribosomal RNA
Rfam family: Bacterial small subunit ribosomal RNA
Source: RNAcentral